Molecule: unclassified non-coding RNA, 349 nt
Filed under: soil metagenome
Description: partial contains 5.8S ribosomal RNA, internal transcribed spacer 2, and large subunit ribosomal RNA
Rfam family: 5.8S ribosomal RNA (bases 1-120)
Source: RNAcentral
GAUGAAGAACGUAGUGAAAUGCGAUAACUAGUGUGAAUUGCAGAAUUCCGUGAAUCAUCGAGUCUUUGAACGCACAUUGCGCCCCCUGGUAUUCCGGGGGGCAUGCCUGUCCGAGCGUCAUUGCUGCCCAUCAAGCACGGCUUGUGUGUUGGGUCGUCGUCCCCUCUCCGGGGGGGACGGGCCCCAAAGGCAGCGGCGGCACCGCGUCCGAUCCUCGAGCGUAUGGGGCUUUGUCACCCGCUCUGUAGGCCCGGCCGGCGCUUGCCGAACGCAAAUCAAUCUUUUUCCGGGUUGACCUCGGAUCAGGUAGGGAUACCCGCUGAACUUAAGCAUAUCAAUAAGCGGAGGA